RNAcentral lists this transfer RNA (71 nucleotides) under Loxodonta africana (African savanna elephant). It matches the Rfam family "tRNA". From Rfam's summary of the family: Transfer RNA (tRNA) molecules are approximately 80 nucleotides in length. Lineage: Eukaryota; Metazoa; Chordata; Mammalia; Proboscidea; Elephantidae. The record is from Rfam by way of RNAcentral.
GCAAUGGCGGUUCAAUGGUAGAACUCUUGCCUUCCACGUGGGAGACUUGGGUUUGAUUCCCUGCCAGUGUA